Capra hircus (goat) is the source of this 590-nucleotide long non-coding RNA. RefSeq lists it as uncharacterized. NCBI's taxonomy places the organism in Eukaryota, Metazoa, Chordata, Mammalia, Artiodactyla, Bovidae. The transcript is spliced from 4 exons. The record is from RefSeq and is a predicted model, not a curated record.
UUCUGCAGGUAUUUUCUUGGAGAGAAAGGGAAAUGAAAAGUUUGAUAGAGAGGAUGGUUCUCCUUCUUGACCACUGUUGAUGAUAUUGAAUACAGUUUCUUGUGCUAUACCUCUUGCCCUUUUGAGGAGGGACAGGAUCAAGAAGCAAGAGCUGACUUUGGCUGAUGCUUGUUAUGUGCCUUAUGGUGCUAGGACAUCUUGUAUAUAUUAUCACAUUCAAUCCUCAUGUGAUCCUACAGAAUAGGAUCUACACAUACCUAUAAAAGACGUAGAGAAUGCAAAGACAGAUAAGCCUGGACCUUCUGUCAUGAAGCUCACAGUCUAAAGAUCCAGGCGCCUGGCAGUGAGAGCUCCAAGUCCUAACCACUGGUCCACUGGAGAAUUCCCUUUUGAUAUUUUCUUACUGUUCUCACAGUUUUUCUCAAAUGAAGCUCAGAGGCAAUUUACCAGAAAAUAAAAUAAAAUUACAUUGGGGUUCAUAUGGAGAUCAUGUUAAAUUUAUAUAUUAAUCUAGGAGAAAUAUUUUUUAACUGUAAUAAUUCUUGCCUCAGGGAAAAUAUCUUGUCUUUCCACUUAUUUAAGUUUUUUUU